Long non-coding RNA from Pogoniulus pusillus (Red-fronted tinkerbird), 1447 nucleotides. RefSeq lists it as uncharacterized. The record is from RefSeq and is a predicted model, not a curated record. The transcript has 6 exons. Lineage: Eukaryota; Metazoa; Chordata; Aves; Piciformes; Lybiidae.
CCAGCUCGAUGGCAGCAAACCACUCAUUGUUCAGCUCUGCUCGCUCUGGUGGGGCUGCAGCUCUUGGAAAAGAUCAAGGAUGUAAGGAGGCUGUAGCAGAACAGCUUUCUGAAGAAAAGCAAAACAACUGCACAAAACAGGAAUGCCUCUAUUAUGUUCCCAGCAAUCUGGUAGCCAUCAACACCUUGCUGAUAAACUGGAAAUCUUCACCUUCUUCCAUCCUCACCUCUCAAAUGACCCAUGAAAGAGUCUUGGAGAUCAAAGAAAUCCUCUUCCAUCCUUAUCCUUCUGAAAGAGAGACUGAUGGGAUUUAGCACCGAUCUGAAGAACAAAGAAGGAACGACCUUUUGUCUGCUGCUGUCAUUCCCUGCUUCACCAUUUUAAGGUGAUGCCCGUUAUUGUUUGUGUUCUGAGAAGCAGAGUACAGCUGUGAGAAGAUGGGAGCCCCAGAGCAGAGCUCUGUGCCAGCUCUGUGCCCCGGAGCAGGGCUUGCUGCCACCUGCAACCACCACAGCCCUAAUUUCUCCCCUGGAGCUGGCUGCAGCCAACAGGCUGUGUGUUUGGCUGUGAGUCCCUGUCCCAAAUGCCCCCCACCCUGCUAUGGUGCUAUUAUUUAUUCCUUUCCUGAGAGCCUUAAUGAAAGGAAUACAUUCCAACAGCUGGGAUUUUUUUUAAGGAAGCUGAGUGCCCACAGAUCACCUCUUCAGCUAGGCAGGGGUGUACUCAUCCUCUGCGGAGCACCCCUCAUCUUUUAAAGAGAGAGAGUAAUGUUGGACUGAGUUGAGAAAUGUGAAAGCAACAGCAGUUAUGCCCAGCUGAGCUUGUUAUAUUUUAUGGUUCCCAUCCUCAACAGAUGGCAAUGGCUUCUGUUGCUCUUACUGUCCAUGGGAAGCCAGUGUUUGGAAGUACACUCCCAAGACUUCUAUUUGGUUUUUGUCUGUUAGAGUCUUUGGUAGGUAGGAUUUUAGGGGUUUUUGUUUGGUUGUUUGUUUUUGGUUUGUUUGGGGGCUGGGGGGGAGGGUAUUGGUUUUGAUUUUUUGGUUUUUCUGUUAUUGUUGGUUGGUUGUUGGGGUUUUUUCAACUGUUUUCCUCCACAAUUCACUUUGGGCUCACCUAUUUUCACACUGCCGUCACCCCUUUUGCUUUCUAGCACCACACUAACACAACACAGACCCAAAGGAUGUUUUCUUCCUGGCAGGAUGCUUCCCAUGCCCAUUGAAUGCAUUCAAUAGGAACACUUUGCUCUCUCUUUUCUACCACAGAAGAGUGUUGUUACUUCUGUGCUACUCACAUAAUUGAAACUGGCCAGUCCAUCAUACUUAAACUGCCCAAGUUUGAUUUCUUGACUGUUUUCAGAUCCUAGGAUGACUGAUCUUCCUCUCUGCUUGACAGAGAAAGUUCAUCCACAAAGUACUAAAUAAAUACUUUUCAACAAAAAGUUUAUUCA